UUGCGCGCACGUGCUGGUUGCUGGUUGCCGGUUUGUCACGUAUAUACACAUCGCGGUGCGCGCGCAGGUAAAAGAUACACGCGCGCGCGCACGCGCACCACCGACAGACGCGUAUAUCCACUAAAUGCUGAGCGCGACUGCGUCAGAUUCGGCGGAACGGUACAGCAAACCACCCCGCGGGCAGGGCUGAACGCGUGCAGAAGGACAACAAACGGAAAAGGAGCGAGAAACGUUUAUACGGUUAGGCCGCCGUCGCUCUACACACACACACACACACACACACACACACACACACACACACACACACACAUGCGGUGAUGGUGUCGCCAGAAGUCUUUUCUCGGUGUGCGUUUGCGCCCGCACCACCGUCACACCACCGGUGGCGGCGUGUGAACGUAAUAAUAAUAAUAAUAACGGGUAUAUACGCGUGUGUUUGGUUGUGGGGAAGCCGUAUGUUGGGGGUGGCGAGGGGGUUGUUCGAAGCGCGCGCGGCCGGCUGACGCGUGGGUAGCCGCCGCCACAGACGCCGACGCCGGCGGCCGACACAGGCGCGCGUGGCUCGGGCGACAGUGGCGGUGUUCGCGCGCACCGCCAGUGGAAUCAAUACCGCCGCCGCGGCCAAUCCAUCGGUUUUCGACCGCACGGCGCCGAGGCGCCGUCGACACGUCGCACCGCCACCGCCACCACCACCGCCACCACCACCACCACUCACCCGGUGAGCGUGUUCAGAAAAAUAUCCUACUCCAGACGUUAAAAUUAAAAAUAUAGGUUGCGAUUUAAAAAUCAAGAGUUUGUAUUUGUAUGGAUUAACAAACGUCCGACAAACACAAGAUUGAAAAAAUAAACGCGAUAUGAAAUAUUAGAGUUGCAUUUAAAAAUAUUACCUGCAUGAUAUGGAAGUUCUGGUAAAUUGUACAUCGUGCGAGCUUUAGUUGCAGUUUCAUAAUAUUUAUGUUUGUCUCUGAUAUUUAAAUGUUUCCACAUAUAGUUGAGUCU
Molecule: long non-coding RNA, 996 nt
Organism: Aphis gossypii (cotton aphid)
Lineage: Eukaryota; Metazoa; Arthropoda; Insecta; Hemiptera; Aphididae
Exons: 3
Source: RefSeq, a predicted model, not a curated record